UAGGAUAGAGGCCUACCAUGGUGGUAACGGGUAACGGGGUGUUAGGGCACGACACCGGAGAGGGAGCCUGAGAAACGGCUACCACAUCCAAGGAUGGCAGCAGGCGCGCAAAUUACCCAAUCCCGACACGGGGAGGUAGUGACAAUAAAUAACAAUACGGGGUUCUUUCGGAUCUCGUAAUUGGAAUGAGUACAAUUUAAAUCUCUUAACGAGGAACAAUUGGAGGGCAAGUCUGGUGCCAGCAGCCGCGGUAAUUCCAGCUCCAAUAGCGUAUAUUAAAGUUGUUGCAGUUAAAAAGCUCGUAGUUGAAUUUCGGGGUUAGUAGGUUGGUCAUGCCUCUGGUAUGUACUGGUCUCACUGAUUCCUCCUUCCUGAUGAACCGUAAUGCCAUUAAUUUGGUGUUGCGGGGAAUUUGGACUGUUACUUUGAAAAAAUUAGAGUGUUUAAAGCAAGCUAACGCUUGAAUACAUUAGCAUGGAAUAAUGAAAUAGGACGUUCGAUCCUAUUUUGUUGGUUUCUAGGAUUGACGUAAUGAUUAAUAGGGAUAGUUGGGGGCAUUAGUAUUCAAUUGUCAGAGGUGAAAUUCUUGGAUUUAUUGAAGACUAACUACUGCGAAAGCAUUUGCCAAGGAUGUUUUCAUUAAUCAAGAACGAAAGUUAGGGGAUCGAAGACGAUCAGAUACCGUCGUAGUCUUAACCAUAAACUAUGCCGACUAGGGAUCGGAU
This 725-nucleotide ribosomal RNA is filed under the name uncultured fungus. RNAcentral's name for it is "SSU rRNA". It matches the Rfam family "Eukaryotic small subunit ribosomal RNA", at positions 329 to 1058 of the family's 1831-position model. Lineage: Eukaryota; Fungi. The record is from RNAcentral.